UCCUAUCUCACCAACCAGAUACAUUACUUGUUAUCUUGUGGGGAGGAGCCAAAAGAAAAAUACUUCUGGCAGAGGAGAAGAGCUUAUAUUACGGGUCAACAGAAAUUCAGGGAGAGGAAGAAAUGGCUCACUGUCAUUGUCUCCAUGGUCUAUGAGGCCAGACUGGGAAAGAACCGCUCUCUAUUUUCCCAUCUCUUCAUCCAGUUGCUGAAGACUGAACUUGCUCUUGCUCCUUUCAGUGUUUCCCGAGAUCACCUUCCAAAUAAACUAUCUGCUUGAGGGACGAAGUGGACUUUACUGGCUCGUGUAACUAAAAGGCACAUGGCAUUGAUGGUUUCAGGCUCUGCUGGUCUUUCUGUGUCCCACGUGGGGAUGAUGGGAGGAGGAAUAGCUAAAGGCAUCAAUUCUGGCCGCAUCGCCUGGUUCAAAUCUCAUAUCUGCCACUUACUACCUGCGUGGCCUUGGCCCCAGGAAGAACUGAGGAAAAAAAGCAAAAUUUCUCAUCUAUACCUUCAGAAGCAACAUGGCGUGGCAGAAAGGACAUCAGUAUUGGAAUCACACAGAAUGAGCUGUCAUCAAUAAAAAACAACAUGUUGGACAAGAUUCCUUCAGACUUUCACAAAAGAGCUGGCCCCAGCCUGAUGUGGGCUCCUAAUCCAUCCUUCUUGGGGAUGGA
Molecule: long non-coding RNA, 676 nt
Filed under: Equus caballus (horse)
Lineage: Eukaryota; Metazoa; Chordata; Mammalia; Perissodactyla; Equidae
Description: lncRNA (ENSECAG00000053685.1)
Source: RNAcentral